Zingiber officinale is the source of this 647-nucleotide long non-coding RNA. RefSeq lists it as uncharacterized. Lineage: Eukaryota; Viridiplantae; Streptophyta; Magnoliopsida; Zingiberales; Zingiberaceae. The transcript has 2 exons. The record is from RefSeq and is a predicted model, not a curated record.
AUGCGAUGGCAACAAAAACCUCCAUCUCCGCUGAAAACCCUCCUCAAAAACUUUCCCUGUGAAAACCUCCAUCUCCGUCCAAGACCUAGACUCCAUGCAAAACCUGCAUCCGCGCUGCCCGUGACCAAGCCUCCUCCAUCGAGGUCAUGAACUACCUCACCACGACCAGACGUCACUGAGAUCUUCCCCUGCCACGACCAGGUCAUGAACUACCUCGAAUCUUAUGCAUGCCACUUCGACCUACUCCGCCGUAUCAAGUUCCACUCUAGUGUGGUAUUGAUAGACCUCGUUGGGACGUUCGAAGAGGAGAUCGUCGCAUAGGACCUCUGGACUGGCGUCGCCAAGGGAGAAUGGCACCUCACCGAGCAGUUAUAAGGGUGAUCCCUCCACCGAGAUGAAUGUGAAAAUAAAUUGAAAGUGGAGUUUUUAUUUUACCAAGAUGGGCACUCAUAUAUUUUUGAGAAGAAAAGUUCCAAUCCAAGAAGCAAGAUAUAUUGGAACUAAUAUGUAUGUCUAGUAUGUAGGGGGUUUGCUUUUAUUAGACUUAACAUGGAUCCAAAUUUUAUGGAUUAUACCUACAUAUUUUUUGUUUAAAUUGUAUGAUACAUUUGUGGUUCAAUAAUAAGGAAUUUGAUUAGUUGUACUUU